Molecule: non-coding RNA, 112 nt
Organism: Bombardia bombarda
Lineage: Eukaryota; Fungi; Ascomycota; Sordariomycetes; Sordariales; Lasiosphaeriaceae
Source: the annotation of a GenBank genome assembly
GGCAAGGUGGCGGAGCGGUCUAACGCGCCACGUUUAGGAAAAAUCCUAAAUUCUACCUUGGAAAGAUUCCGUGGUCUCGCAAGAGGCGUGGGUUCGAAUCCCACCCUUGUCA